AGAAUCAACGCUGGCGGCGUGCCUAACACAUGCAAGUCGAACGAGAAAGUGGAGCAAUCCAUGAGUAAAGUGGCGACCGGGUGAGUAACACGUGACUAACCUACCUUCGAGUGGGGGAUAACCUCGGGAAAACCGGAGCUAAUACCGCAUAAUAUCCACGGAUCAAAGGAGCAAUUCGCUUGAAGAGGGGGUCGCGGCUGAUUAGUUAGUUGGCGGGUAAUGGCCCACAAGACAAUGAUCGGUA
RNAcentral lists this ribosomal RNA (244 nucleotides) under uncultured bacterium. RNAcentral's name for it is "partial small subunit ribosomal RNA". It matches the Rfam family "Bacterial small subunit ribosomal RNA", at positions 26 to 285 of the family's 1533-position model. The record is from RNAcentral.